AGAAAUGGAAAGUGGAGAGAGAGAGACAGAAAAGAAAGAGAGAAAACAGGAGAGAGAGAACGAAAACGAAGCAUCCGUGCGCGGAGUGCUCUCCUGAGAAUAAAUCAGUUUCCUUCUCCUGGGUGAUGGGGAUCUGGACUUCUGGAGCUUCAUUCUUCCUUCCUCUUGCUGUCCAUGAUCUUCUUUAGCAAAGAAACCCACCCAGAAUGCGCAACAAGCUUCGAAUAGAAGCUACUCCCGUUCCCAUUGUCAAUGCACACCUGCUGCAGCUGAUUCUUUCCCGAAUGCUACUGAAGUCGCUGCAAACACACCCAGCUCUACAGAUUCUGUCAUGGCGUAUUGCAGACAUGUCUUGGGCGAUUGGGGGCAAAUGGCUCAUGUGUUUGGUCCCAAAUUUGGUCUCCAUUGAGGAUUAGAAAUCACAAAAGAAGAAAAAUGGAAGAAAAUGGCAUAGGAUAGCAGGGGAGGCAAUCUGCCUCUCUCCGCGUCGGGUCCUGGGUGUCAAAGUGUCGGGACAGCACACAGACACAGUCUGCUGAGCAAGCGGGCGCGCGCGGGAGACGCGUCUAGGCACCAGCAUGUGCAGAGGCAAAUGCCCUGGCGCGCGCAUGCUCUGGUAACCUGCCUAGACGCCGAGAGGGAUGCGUGGGCACGGGCCUGGAGACAUGAAUUCGGAUUCGCAGGAUUUAUUCCCCGUCUAGGCACCAGCAUGCGCAGAGGUUAAUGGCCUUCGGGUUUUUGAGAGAAGAAAAUGGAAAUUUAG
This is a long non-coding RNA of Carica papaya (papaya), 763 nucleotides long. RefSeq lists it as uncharacterized. Lineage: Eukaryota; Viridiplantae; Streptophyta; Magnoliopsida; Brassicales; Caricaceae. The record is from RefSeq and is a predicted model, not a curated record.